CCUACGGGCGGCAGCAGUCGAGAAUCAUUCACAAUGGGGGAAACCCUGAUGGUGCGACGCCGCGUGGGGGAAUGAAGGUCUUCGGAUUGUAAACCCCUGUCAUGUGGGAGCAAAUUAAAAAGAUAGUACCACAAGAGGAAGAGACGGCUAACUCUGUGCCAGCAGCCGCGGUAAUACAGAGGUCUCAAGCGUUGUUCGGAAUCACUGGGCGUAAGGCGUGCGGAGGCUGUUUCGUAAGUCGUGUGUGAAAGGCGCGGGCUCAACCCGCGGACGGCACAUGAUACUGCGAGACUAGAGUAAUGGAGGGGGAACCGGAAUGCUCGGUGUAGCAGUGAAAUGCGUAGAUAUCGAGAGGAACACUCGUGGCGAAGGCGGGUUCCUGGACAUUAACUGACGCUGAGGCACGAAGGCCAGGGGAGCGAAAGGGAUUAGAUACCCUAGUAGUC
This 446-nucleotide ribosomal RNA is filed under the name uncultured bacterium. RNAcentral's name for it is "partial 16S ribosomal RNA". It matches the Rfam family "Bacterial small subunit ribosomal RNA", at positions 338 to 795 of the family's 1533-position model. The record is from RNAcentral.